UACGAAGGGGGCUAGCGUUGCUCGGAAUGACUGGGCGUAAAGGGCGCGUAGGCGGUUCGUACAGUCAGACGUGAAAUCCCCGGGCUCAACCUGGGAAUGGCAGUGGAUACUGGCAAGCUAGAGUGCGGUAGAGGGUAGUGGAAUUCCCGGUGUAGCAGUGAAAUGCGUAGAGAUCGGGAGGAACACCAGUGGCGAAGGCGGCUACCUGGACCAGCACUGACACUGAGGCACGAAAGCGUGGGGAGCAAACAGG
RNAcentral lists this ribosomal RNA (253 nucleotides) under uncultured bacterium. RNAcentral describes it as "partial 16S ribosomal RNA". It matches the Rfam family "Bacterial small subunit ribosomal RNA", at positions 524 to 776 of the family's 1533-position model. The record is from RNAcentral.